This is a long non-coding RNA of Raphanus sativus (radish), 404 nucleotides long. RefSeq lists it as uncharacterized. NCBI's taxonomy places the organism in Eukaryota, Viridiplantae, Streptophyta, Magnoliopsida, Brassicales, Brassicaceae. The transcript has 2 exons. The record is from RefSeq and is a predicted model, not a curated record.
UAUUGGAAGACUUGAAACGGUGCUUACUUAGGAUCUCAUCUCAUGAUAUCGCUCUCUUUCUUAGGUGAUGAUCCACUUUCGGAUCGAUUGAAAAAAUUAAAUCAUACUUGUAACAUCUAUCUAUGUGGACUCCGGAGUGCUUAGGUUCUCUCCAGAGACGCAGUCUUCUCUGUUCCGAUGGCCGAGGCUAAUAGUCUACCAGGUGUGUUGGAUCAAGGACCUGGUGACUCUAGAGAAGUACUUGCAAGAUAUAUAUUGAAGAAACUUAAGGAUCUAAAGGCACCAAUCCAAGCCUCUUGUUAGUACUUGUGUUAUUGUUUUACUUUUGUUACAAGUUGUGAACUUCGUGUUAGUAGUAUUCUUUUCAUUAGGUCUUGGUCUAAUUCAUUGGUUUUUUUUUUGUU